Molecule: ribosomal RNA, 465 nt
Filed under: Vreelandella stevensii
Lineage: Bacteria; Pseudomonadati; Pseudomonadota; Gammaproteobacteria; Oceanospirillales; Halomonadaceae
Description: partial 16S ribosomal RNA
Rfam family: Bacterial small subunit ribosomal RNA
Source: RNAcentral
CCUACGGGUGGCAGCAGUGGGGAAUAUUGGACAAUGGGCGAAAGCCUGAUCCAGCCAUGCCGCGUGUGUGAAGAAGGCCUUCGGGUUGUAAAGCACUUUCAGUGGGGAAGAAAGCCUUGGGGCUAAUACCCUCGAGGAAGGACAUCACCCACAGAAGAAGCACCGGCUAACUCCGUGCCAGCAGCCGCGGUAAUACGGAGGGUGCGAGCGUUAAUCGGAAUUACUGGGCGUAAAGCGCGCGUAGGCGGUCUGAUAAGCCGGUUGUGAAAGCCCCGGGCUCAACCUGGGAACGGCAUCCGGAACUGUCAGGCUAGAGUGCAGAAGAGGAAGGUAGAAUUCCCGGUGUAGCGGUGAAAUGCGUAGAGAUCGGGAGGAAUACCGGUGGCGAAGGCGGCCUUCUGGACUGACACUGACGCUGAGGUGCGAAAGCGUGGGUAGCAAACAGGAUUAGAUACCCUAGUAGUC